GAUGAACGCUGGCGGCGUGCCUAAUACAUGCAAGUCGAGCGAACGGACGAGAAGCUUGCUCUUCUGAUGUUAGCGGCGGACGGGUGAGUAACACGUGGAUAACCUACCUAUAAGACUGGGAUAACUUCGGGAAACCGGAGCUAAUACCGGAUAAUAUUUUGAACCGCAUGGUUCAAAAGUGAAAGACGGUCUUGCUGUCACUUAUAGAUGGAUCCGCGCUGCAUUAGCUAGUUGGUAAGGUAACGGCUUACCAAGGCAACGAUGCAUAGCCGACCUGAGAGGGUGAUCGGCCACACUGUAACUGAGGCACGGUCCAGACUCCUACGGGAGGCAGCAGUAGGGAAUCUUCCGCGAUGGGCGAAAGCCUGACGGAGCAACGCCGCGUGAGUGAUGAAGGUCUUCGGAUCGUAAAGCUCUGUUAUUAGGGAAGAACAUAUGUGUAAGUAACUGUGCACAUCUUGACGGUACCUAAUCAGAAAGCCACGGCUAACUACGUG
RNAcentral lists this ribosomal RNA (497 nucleotides) under uncultured bacterium. Its description in RNAcentral is "partial 16S ribosomal RNA". It matches the Rfam family "Bacterial small subunit ribosomal RNA", at positions 28 to 507 of the family's 1533-position model. The record is from RNAcentral.